Long non-coding RNA from Rhagoletis zephyria (snowberry fruit fly), 92 nucleotides. RefSeq lists it as uncharacterized. Lineage: Eukaryota; Metazoa; Arthropoda; Insecta; Diptera; Tephritidae. The record is from RefSeq and is a predicted model, not a curated record.
AUUUUUAAAUUAACUGAUAGCUCAUUUAUUGCUAUCGCGUAAAAAUUGUCGAAGUUAGGCGACUUUUUUUAAAUACGGUCUUGAAUUUAUAU